UGAAUUGUAGCUUAAUUAGAAGCAUCUCGGUUACGUUGAGAAGAUCACUGAAUUGCAGUGUAGUUCAAAUA
RNAcentral lists this transfer RNA (71 nucleotides) under Caridina typus. Its description in RNAcentral is "tRNA-Val". Lineage: Eukaryota; Metazoa; Arthropoda; Malacostraca; Decapoda; Atyidae. The record is from RNAcentral.